RNAcentral lists this ribosomal RNA (484 nucleotides) under uncultured bacterium. Its description in RNAcentral is "partial 16S ribosomal RNA". It matches the Rfam family "Bacterial small subunit ribosomal RNA", at positions 29 to 507 of the family's 1533-position model. The record is from RNAcentral.
AUUGAACGCUCGCGGGAUGCUUUACACAUGCAAGUCGAACGGCAGCGCGGACUUCGGUCUGGCGGCGAGUGGCGAACGGGUGAGUAAUGUAUCGGAACGUGCCCAGUAGCGGGGGAUAACUACGCGAAAGCGUAGCUAAUACCGCAUACGCCCUACGGGGGAAAGCAGGGGAUCGUAAGACCUUGCACUAUUGGAGCGGCCGAUACCGGAGUAGCUAGUUGGUUGGGGAACGGCUCACCAAGGCGACGAUCCGUAGCUGGUUUGAGAGGACGACCAGCCACACUGGGACUGGGACACGGCCCAGACUCCUACGGGAGGCAGCAGUGGGGAAUUGUGGACAAUGGGGGCAACCCUGAUCCAGCCAGCCCGCGUGUGCGAUGAAGGCCUUCGGGUUGUAAAGCACUUUUGGCAGGAAAGAAACGUCGCGGGCUAAUACCCCGUGGAACUGACGGUACCUGCAGAAUAAGCACCGGCUAACUACGUG